UUGAACGCUGGCGGCAGGCCUAACACCUGCACGUCGAACGGUAACAGGAAGCAGCUUGCUGCUUCGCUGACGAGUGGCGGACGGGUGAGUAAUGUCUGGGAAACUGCCUGAUGGAGGGGGAUAACUACUGGAAACGGUAGCUAAUACCGCAUAACGUCGCAAGACCAAAGAGGGGGACCUUAGGGCCUCUUGCCAUCGGAUGUGCCCAGAUGGGAUUAGCUAGUAGGUGGGGUAACGGCUCACCUAGGCGACGAUCCCUAGCUGGUCUGAGAGGAUGACCAGCCACACUGGAACUGAGACACGGUCCAGACUCCUACGGGAGGCAGCAGUGGGGAAUAUUGCACAAUGGGCGCAAGCCUGAUGCAGCCAUGCCGCGUGUAUGAAGAAGGCCUUCGGGUUGUAAAGUACUUUCAGCGGGGAGGAAGGGAGUAAAGUUAAUACCUUUGCUCAUUGACGUUACCCGCAGAAGAAGCACCGGCUAACUCCGUG
RNAcentral lists this ribosomal RNA (489 nucleotides) under uncultured bacterium. Its description in RNAcentral is "partial 16S ribosomal RNA". It matches the Rfam family "Bacterial small subunit ribosomal RNA", at positions 30 to 507 of the family's 1533-position model. The record is from RNAcentral.